UCGAAGGUAGCAUAAUCAGUAGUCUUUUAAUUGAAGGCUGGUAUGAAUGGUUGGACAAAUAUUAACUGUUUCAUAAAUAUUUUUGUUAAAAUUUUAUUUUUUAGUCAAAAAGCUAAAAUUAAUUUAAAAGACAAGAAGACCCUAUAAAUCUUUAUAAUUUAAUUAUUAAAAAUUUAUAGAAUUAUUUUAUUAUAAUAAUAAGUAUUAUUUUAUUGGGGUGAUAUUAAAAUUUAAUUAACUUUUAAUUUAAUAUUUCAUUAAUUUAUGAAUGAUUGAUCCAUUAUUAAUGAUUAAUAAAAUAAGUUACUUUAGGGAUAACAGCGUAAUUUUUUUGGAGAGUUCAUAUCAAUAAAAAAGAUUGCGACCUCGAUGUUGGAUUAA
Molecule: ribosomal RNA, 381 nt
Filed under: Dinera carinifrons
Lineage: Eukaryota; Metazoa; Arthropoda; Insecta; Diptera; Tachinidae
Description: partial 16S ribosomal RNA
Source: RNAcentral